Molecule: ribosomal RNA, 1303 nt
Filed under: Salmonella enterica subsp. enterica
Lineage: Bacteria; Pseudomonadati; Pseudomonadota; Gammaproteobacteria; Enterobacterales; Enterobacteriaceae
Description: partial 23S ribosomal RNA
Rfam family: Bacterial large subunit ribosomal RNA
Source: RNAcentral
CAUCCUCCAAGGCUAAAUACUCCUGACUGACCGAUAGUGAACCAGUACCGUGAGGGAAAGGCGAAAAGAACCCCGGCGAGGGGAGUGAAAAAGAACCUGAAACCGUGUACGUACAAGCAGUGGGAGCACAGGUUUACCUGUGUGACUGCGUACCUUUUGUAUAAUGGGUCAGCGACUUAUAUUCUGUAGCAAGGUUAACCGAAUAGGGGAGCCGGAGGGAAACCGAGUCUUAAUUGGGCGUUAAGUUGCAGGGUAUAGACCCGAAACCCGGUGAUCUAGCCAUGGGCAGGUUGAAGGUUGGGUAACACUAACUGGAGGACCGAACCGACUAAUGUUGAAAAAUUAGCGGAUGACCUGUGGCUGGGGGUGAAAGGCCAAUCAAACCGGGAGAUAGCUGGUUCUCCCCGAAAGCUAUUUAGGUAGCGCCUCGUGAAUUCAUCUCCGGGGGUAGAGCACUGUUUCGGCUAGGGGGCCAUCCCGGCUUACCAACCCGAUGCAAACUGCGAAUACCGGAGAAUGUUAUCACGGGAGACACACGGCGGGUGCUAACGUCCGUCGUGAAGAGGGAAACAACCCAGACCGCCAGCUAAGGUCCCAAAGUCAUGGUUAAGUGGGAAACGAUGUGGGAAGGCCCAGACAGCCAGGAUGUUGGCUUAGAAGCAGCCAUCAUUUAAAGAAAGCGUAAUAGCUCACUGGUCGAGUCGGCCUGCGCGGAAGAUGUAACGGGGCUAAACCAUGCACCGAAGCUGCGGCAGCGACACUGUGUGUUGUUGGGUAGGGGAGCGUUCUGUAAGCCUGUGAAGGUGGCCUGUGAGGGUUGCUGGAGGUAUCAGAAGUGCGAAUGCUGACAUAAGUAACGAUAAAGCGGGUGAAAAGCCCGCUCGCCGGAAGACCAAGGGUUCCUGUCCAACGUUAAUCGGGGCAGGGUGAGUCGACCCCUAAGGCGAGGCCGAAAGGCGUAGUCGAUGGGAAACGGGUUAAUAUUCCCGUACUUGGUGUUACUGCGAAGGGGGGACGGAGAAGGCUAUGUUGGCCGGGCGACGGUUGUCCCGGUUUAAGCGUGUAGGUGUGUGUUCCAGGUAAAUCCGGUUCACUUUAACACUGAGGCGUGAUGACGAGGCACUACGGUGCUGAAGCAACAAAUGCCCUGCUUCCAGGAAAAGCCUCUAAGCAUCAGGUAACAUCAAAUCGUACCCCAAACCGACACAGGUGGUCAGGUAGAGAAUACCAAGGCGCUUGAGAGAACUCGGGUGAAGGAACUAGGCAAAAUGGUGCCGUAACUUCGGGAGAAGGCACGCUGACA